UCCGGUUCUUCACCAGCAGUCUCCUUAGAGUCCCCACCAUUACAUGUUGGCAACUAAGGAUAAGGGUUGCGCUCGUUACGGGACUUAACCCAACAUCUCACAACACGAGCUGACGACAGCCAUGCAGCACCUGUCUCUAGGGUCCUUUCGGCACUCCAGCAUCUCUGCUAGAUUCCUAGGAUGUCAAGGGUAGGUAAGGUUCUUCGCGUUGCGUCGAAUUAAACCACAUGCUCCACCGCUUGUGCGGGCCCCCGUCAAUUCCUUUGAGUUUUAACCUUGCGGUCGUACUCCCCAGGCGGAAGACUUAUCGCGUUAGCUUCGAUACUAAACAGUCUUGCUGCCCAACAUCUAGUCUUCAUCGUUUACAGCGUGGACUAC
RNAcentral lists this unclassified non-coding RNA (378 nucleotides) under uncultured Gammaproteobacteria bacterium. Its description in RNAcentral is "contains 16S-23S intergenic spacer region". Lineage: Bacteria; Pseudomonadati; Pseudomonadota; Gammaproteobacteria. The record is from RNAcentral.